RNAcentral lists this RNase P RNA (367 nucleotides) under Salmonella enterica subsp. enterica. RNAcentral's name for it is "partial RNase P RNA component class A". It matches the Rfam family "Bacterial RNase P class A". From Rfam's summary of the family: Ribonuclease P (RNase P) is a ubiquitous endoribonuclease, found in archaea, bacteria and eukarya as well as chloroplasts and mitochondria. Its best characterised activity is the generation of mature 5'-ends of tRNAs by cleaving the 5'-leader elements of precursor-tRNAs. The record is from RNAcentral. Lineage: Bacteria; Pseudomonadati; Pseudomonadota; Gammaproteobacteria; Enterobacterales; Enterobacteriaceae. RNAcentral also lists the same sequence under 1 other name.
GAAGCUGACCAGACAGUCGCCGCUUCGUCGUCGUCCUUUCGGGGAGACGGGCGGAGGGGAGGAAAGUCCGGGCUCCAUAGGGCAGGGUGCCAGGUAACGCCUGGGGGGGAAAACCACGACCAGUGCAACAGAGAGCAAACCGCCGAUGGCCCACGUAAGUGGGAUCAGGUAAGGGUGAAAGGGUGCGGUAAGAGCGCACCGCGCGGCUGGUAACAGUCCGUGGCACGGUAAACUCCACCCGGAGCAAGGCCAAAUAGGGGUUCAUAAGGUACGGCCCGUACUGAACCCGGGUAGGCUGCUUGAGCCAGUGAGCGAUUGCUGGCCUAGAUGAAUGACUGUCCACGACAGAACCCGGCUUAUCGGUCAG